AUUGAACGCUGGCGGCAGGCCUAACACAUGUAAGUCGAGCGGAGGGGCGGACGGGUGAGUAAUGCCUAGGAAUCUGCCUGGUAGGGGGGGAUAACGUCCGGAAACGGGCGCUAAUACCGCAUACUAUCAGAUGAGACUAGGUCGGAGUAGCUAGUUGGUGGGGUAAAGGCCUACCAAGGCGACGAUCCGUAACUGGUCUGAGAGGAUGAUCAGUCACACUGGGACUGUGAACCGGUCCAGACUCCUCCGUGAGGCAGCAGUGGGGAAUAUUGGACAAUUGGCGAAAGCCUGAUCCAGCCAUGCCGCGUGUUUGAAGAAGGUCUUCGGAUUGUAAAGCACUUUGAUUAGGGAGGCGUUACCUAAAGAAUAAGCACCGGCUAACUUCGUGCCAGCAGCCGCGGUAAUUC
RNAcentral lists this ribosomal RNA (407 nucleotides) under uncultured bacterium. RNAcentral describes it as "partial 16S ribosomal RNA". It matches the Rfam family "Bacterial small subunit ribosomal RNA", at positions 30 to 526 of the family's 1533-position model. The record is from RNAcentral.